Molecule: ribosomal RNA, 465 nt
Filed under: uncultured bacterium
Lineage: Bacteria
Description: partial 16S ribosomal RNA
Rfam family: Bacterial small subunit ribosomal RNA
Source: RNAcentral
CCUACGGGAGGCAGCAGUCGGGAAUCAUUCACAAUGGGCGAAAGCCUGAUGGAGCAACGCCGCGUGGGUGAAGAAGGUCUUCGGAACGUAAAACCCUGUUGUUAGAGAAGAAAGUGAGUGAGAGUAACUGUUCACGUUUCGACGGUAUCUAACCAGAAAGCCACGGCUAACUACGUGCCAGCAGCCGCGGUAAGACGUAGGUGGCAAGCGUUAUCCGGAUUGAUUGGGCGUAAGGGGAACGCAGGCGGUCUUUUAAGUCUGAUGUGAAAGCCUUCGGCUUAACCGGAGUAGUGCAUUGGAAACUGGGAGACUUGAGUGCAGAAGAGGAGAGUGGAACUCCAGGUGUAGCGGUGAAAUGCGUAGAUAUAUGGAAGAACACCAGUGGCGAAAGCGGCUCUCUGGUCUGUAACUGACGCUGAGGUUCGAAAGCGUGGGUAGCAAAAAGGAUUAGAUACCCGGGUAGUC